CCUACGGGAGGCAGCAGUGAGGAAUAUUGGUCAAUGGACGAGAGUCUGAACCAGCCAAGUAGCGUGAAGGAUGACUGCCCUAUGGGUUGUAAACUUCUUUUAUAUGGGAAUAAAACGUUCCAUGUGUGGGAUUUUGUAUGUACCAUAUGAAUAAGGAUCGGCUAACUCCGUGCCAGCAGCCGCGGUAAUACGGAGGAUCCGAGCGUUAUCCGGAUUUAUUGGGUUUAAAGGGAGCGUAGGUGGAUUGUUAAGUCAGUUGUGAAAGUUUGCGGCUCAACCGUAAAAUUGCAGUUGAAACUGGCAGUCUUGAGUACAGUAGAGGUGGGCGGAAUUCGUGGUGUAGCGGUGAAAUGCUUAGAUAUCACGAAGAACUCCGAGUGCGAAGGCAGUUCACUGGACUGCAACUGACACUGAGGCUCGAAAGUGUGGGUAUCAAACAGGAUUAGAUACCCUGGUAGUC
Molecule: ribosomal RNA, 460 nt
Filed under: uncultured bacterium
Lineage: Bacteria
Description: partial 16S ribosomal RNA
Rfam family: Bacterial small subunit ribosomal RNA
Source: RNAcentral